This 357-nucleotide ribosomal RNA is filed under the name uncultured bacterium. RNAcentral describes it as "bacterial SSU rRNA". It matches the Rfam family "Bacterial small subunit ribosomal RNA", at positions 1 to 334 of the family's 1533-position model. The record is from RNAcentral.
GAUACGUCUUCAGAGUUUGAUCCUGGCUCAGGACAAACGCUGGCGGCGUGCAUAACACAUGCAAGUCGAACGAGAUUGUAGGAAAUGGAGUCUUCGGACAAAGCUUUUUACAUGAAAGUGGCGAACGGGUGAGUAACACGUGAGAAACCUGCCCUUCACAGUGGGAUAGCCGUUGGAAACGACGAUUAAUACCGCAUGAGAUUGUAGUAUCGCAUGAUAUAGCAAUUAAAGAUUUUAUCGGUGAAGGAUGGUCUCGCGUCUGAUUAGCUAGUUGGUGGGGUAAAGGCCUACCAAGGCGACGAUCAGUAGCCGAUCUGAGAGGGUGUACGGCCACAUUGGGACUGAGACACGGCCCAA